Long non-coding RNA from Spinacia oleracea (spinach), 555 nucleotides. RefSeq lists it as uncharacterized. The record is from RefSeq and is a predicted model, not a curated record. The transcript is spliced from 2 exons. NCBI's taxonomy places the organism in Eukaryota, Viridiplantae, Streptophyta, Magnoliopsida, Caryophyllales, Amaranthaceae.
UUACUCUAAAUUUUGUGUCAGUAUAAAAGUACCUAAACCCUAAAUUUCUACCCUCUCUCACAGUCUCACACCUUCUCAUUCUUUCACUCUCUCUCUCUAUAAAAAUUGCGCCGCUCUUCACUAAUCUGAGGUCUGAUCCUCUCAUCCUCUGCUCAAUUCUUCGGUUCCUCUUCAUUCACUCGUGACUUUGGAGCCGCAACUUGAGGCUUUAUGUGGAUCCGUCAUGAAUUUGAGAGUGAAUGUAGAAGGUGAUGAGAUUCCGUUGCCAAUGUCGCCACCGGUUGAGGCUCAUCUACCAUCCUCCUCCAACAAUAUAUAAUGUCGUGUUCCUGUUUUAAAAAACUCAAGUUUGUGUAAUUUGUACCUUUGAGGCAACUUUAUUUGGUCUGUAAAACUAUUUAAUACUUUGUGCAAACUUAUUAAGGUGUGCUAACCUAAUGGCACCUUUAACUCCUAAACUUUAACUCUUUAAGAGUUAAACUUUUGUGUAAAAUAUUCGGGUAGAACUUGGAGCGGCUGCCCUUAGAGGCUAAAUUUUAAAUUAUUAUUUCCCAA